AGUGAACGCUGGCGGUAGGCCUAACACAUGCAAGUCGAACGGCAGCACAGUAAGAGCUUGCUCUUACGGGUGGCGAGUGGCGGACGGGUGAGGAAUACAUCGGAAUCUACUUUUUCGUGGGGGAUAACGUAGGGAAACUUACGCUAAUACCUCAUACGACCUACGGGUGAAAGCAGGGGAUCUUCGGACCUUGCGCGAUUGAAUGAGCCGAUGUCGGAUUAGCUAGUUGGCGGGGUAAAGGCCCACCAAGGCGACGAUCCGUAGCUGGUCUGAGAGGAUGAUCAGCCACACUGGAACUGAGACACGGUCCAGACUCCUACGGGAGGCAGCAGUGGGGAAUAUUGGACAAUGGGCGCAAGCCUGAUCCAGCCAUACCGCGUGGGUAAAGAAGGCCUUCGGGUUGUAAAGCCCUUUUGUUGGGAAAGAAAAGCAGCAGGUUAAUACCCCGCUGUUCUGACGGUACCCAAAGAAUAAGCACCGGCUAACUUCGUG
This 492-nucleotide ribosomal RNA is filed under the name uncultured bacterium. RNAcentral's name for it is "partial 16S ribosomal RNA". It matches the Rfam family "Bacterial small subunit ribosomal RNA", at positions 29 to 507 of the family's 1533-position model. The record is from RNAcentral.